AGGCUUGUAGUUCAACGGUUAGAACACACAUCCGAUGAGUGUGUAAUAGUGGUUCGAUUCCACUCGGGCCUA
This 72-nucleotide transfer RNA is filed under the name Hymenobacter sp. RNAcentral describes it as "tRNA-Ile". It matches the Rfam family "tRNA". From Rfam's summary of the family: Transfer RNA (tRNA) molecules are approximately 80 nucleotides in length. Lineage: Bacteria; Pseudomonadati; Bacteroidota; Cytophagia; Cytophagales; Hymenobacteraceae. The record is from RNAcentral.